AUUGAACGCUGGCGGCAGGCUUAACACAUGCAAGUCGAGCGGUAACAGAGAGAAGCUUGCUUCUCUGCUGACGAGCGGCGGACGGGUGAGUAAUGCCUAGGAAUCUGCCUAGUAGUGGGGGAUAACUUGCCGAAAGGUAAGCUAAUACCGCAUACGUCCUACGGGAGAAAGGAGGGGACCUUCGGGCCUUUCGCUAUUAGAUGAGCCUAGGUCGGAUUAGUUAGUUGGUGAGGUAAUGGCUCACCAAGACCGCGAUCCGUAACUGGUCUGAGGGGAUGAUCAGUCACACUGGAACUGGGACAGGGUCCAGACUCCUACGGGAGGCAGCAGUGGGGAAUAUUGGACAAGGGGGGGAACCCUGAUCCAGCCAUGCCGCGUGUGUGAAGAAGGUCUUAGGUUUGUAAAGCACUUUAAGUUGGGAGGAAGAGCAGUUAGCUAAUAUUUGACUGUUUUGACGUUACCGACAGAAUAAGCACCGGCUAACUUCGUGCCAGCAACCGCCGUAA
RNAcentral lists this ribosomal RNA (506 nucleotides) under uncultured bacterium. Its description in RNAcentral is "partial 16S ribosomal RNA". It matches the Rfam family "Bacterial small subunit ribosomal RNA", at positions 30 to 523 of the family's 1533-position model. The record is from RNAcentral.